RNAcentral lists this ribosomal RNA (450 nucleotides) under uncultured bacterium. Its description in RNAcentral is "partial 16S ribosomal RNA". It matches the Rfam family "Bacterial small subunit ribosomal RNA", at positions 354 to 796 of the family's 1533-position model. The record is from RNAcentral.
GUGGGGAAUUUUGGACAAUGGGCGAAAGCCUGAUCCAGCAAUGCCGCGUGCAGGAUGAAGGCCCUCGGGUUGUAAACUGCUUUUGUACGGAACGAAAAGCCUGGGGCUAAUAUCCCCGGGUCAUGACGGUACCGUAAGAAUAAGCACCGGCUAACUACGUGCCAGCAGCCGCGGUAAUACGUAGGGUGCAAGCGUUAAUCGGAAUUACUGGGCGUAAAGCGUGCGCAGGCGGUUUUGUAAGACAGUGGUGAAAUCCCCGGGCUCAACCUGGGAACUGCCAUUGUGACUGCAAGGCUAGAGUGCGGCAGAGGGGGAUGGAAUUCCGCGUGUAGCAGUGAAAUGCGUAGAUAUGCGGAGGAACACCGAUGGCGAAGGCAAUCCCCUGGGCCUGCACUGACGCUCAUGCACGAAAGCGUGGGGAGCAAACAGGAUUAGAUACCCGUGUAGUCC